RNAcentral lists this long non-coding RNA (1061 nucleotides) under Populus tremula. Its description in RNAcentral is "long non-coding RNA (PTRE_LNC000682)". The record is from RNAcentral. Lineage: Eukaryota; Viridiplantae; Streptophyta; Magnoliopsida; Malpighiales; Salicaceae.
CUCGAGUCAAAACAAUAUUCCACUGCCUUUGGCUUAUAAAUUUGGCUUCAUUUUGCCUACCUUCAAACACAACCUCAUCAUCAACUCAACUAGCUAAAAGCUUAAUUAGAAGCUCUACCUUCACCGACACAUAUAUUUUUGCUUACAAAAACAGCAAAAUUUAGCAACACCAAAACCAAUAGCUACCUACUUUGGCAAGAAUUAAUUAACUAUCACAUACAUAGUGCUCAGAAAGAGAGAGCCAGGAGGGGUGGUCGUCAAGAACUGAGGAUGAUAGCAGUGGCAAUCAUGGCGGAGCUGUUGGAAGAAUAUGUGGUGGCUCUGGCAAGAAUUACAGAGAGGUUUUUGCCACCAAGACACGGCAUGAAUGGUUUUCAAGGUCUCAGGAAUUUUCGUUUGCCUUCUUCUUCUUCUGCCACUCUUGAUCAAGGCUCAUGUUCUUUCAUUGUUUAUAUCUGAUUGAUGCCUGCCUACCUAUCUCUCUCUCUCUCUCUCUAUCUCUUUUCUUCUUCUUCUUCUUCUUCUUCAUUUAUUUAUUUUUUGAAUUAAAUUAAUUGAUACAUGAGAUUAUUUUUCCUUUUCCUCUUUCAUGUCGUUUUUGUUACUUAUAAGGCUUCAAAAUUUUAUGAAUUUUUGUAGUUUAUUUUACGAGGGAUAAUGCAUUUAUUUGUGGCCCAGAAGAUUGUAAUGUAAUUUAAAAAAAAAAAAAAUUAUUGCGUCCCUACAGUGGAUGAGAAUGGACAAGUAGCACAUUGAUUUAUGUGUGUGUGUUUGUGUUUUCUUUGUGGGGUUCUUGUUGUUAGAUGAGUAAAGCGAGUAGGAGCGAGUAGCUGCAGCAGCGCAUCAACAAAUAGAAGAGAAAGAAAACGAAGAGCUGAGUUGUGAAUUUAAUAAAUGAAGAAAUUCAGAAAUAAACUAACUCAUUAUGCAAACGCUUACGUACAUGCAUAGAUAUAAUAAAGAUUAUUCUCCAAUGAAGAAGAUGGAUUUAGUUUUUAUAUAUAGAGAAGCUCAGCUCAUCCAAUGAUAUUUUAUAUGUAAAAUCAAAAAAAUACGCGCGC